UACGGCUCAGUAACACGUAGCUAACCUACCCUUAAGUCAGGGAUAGCCUCUGGGAAACUGAGGCUAAUACCUGAUAAGAGAUAUACCCUGGAAUGAUGUAUCUCUGAAACUCGCGCUUAAGGAUGGGGCUGCGGUGGAUUAGGUUGUUGGCGGGGUAACUGCCCACCAAGCCUAUGAUCCAUAAGGGCUCUUAGCGGAGAAGCCCUGAGAGGGAAUCUGAGACACUAUUCCCAGCCCUACGGGGUGCAGCAGUUAGGAAUCUUUUGCAAUGCGCGCAAGCGUGACAAAUUGAACCAGAGUGCUUUUCAAUUGAAAAGCUUUUGCCAAAUGUAAAUAGUUUGGAGAAUAAGGACUGGGUAAGACUAGUGCCAGCCGCCGCGGUAAUACUAGCGGUCCAAGUCGCAGCCAUUUUUAUUGGGUCUAAAACAUCCGUAGCUUGUUCAGUGAGUUUCCUGUGAAAUCUUAUCUCUCAAAGGUAGGGCGUGCGGGAAGUACUGCUGAACUAGAGACUGGAAGACGUAGGAAGUACGUUCAAAGUAGUGGUAAAAUACUUUAAUCUUGAGCGGACUCGCAAUAGCGAAGGCAUCCUACGAGGACAGUUCUGACAGUAAGGGAUGAAGGCUAGGGGCGCAAAACGGAUUAGAUACCCGUGUAGUCCUAGCAGUAAACACUGCACACUAAACAUCAGUACCUCUUCGAGAGGUAUUGGUGCUGCAGCGAAGGCGAAGAGUGUGCUACCUGGGAAGUAUAGUCGCAAGGCCGAAACUUAAAGGAAUUGGCGG
Molecule: ribosomal RNA, 782 nt
Filed under: uncultured archaeon
Lineage: Archaea
Description: bacterial SSU rRNA
Rfam family: Archaeal small subunit ribosomal RNA
Source: RNAcentral